UCCCGCCCAUACGCACAAGUGGUUGGUCUGUGGCGCUUGUCAAUCGGUGUGAGUCGCUGUGCGAUUGGCCGGUGGGAUAAAAGCGCGGAGGAGCUCCCUUCCGCAGUGUGAAGCCGGCUUGGCGUGACCCUCGCCUGACCCAGUUGUUAGAGGUGGAAGCUUGGCAAUUGUCCUCCCUUCUUCCCAUGGAGGACAGGGGCUUAACGGCCUUUGAAGAGGACCAGAGAUGCUUUUCCCAGAGCCUUCCCUUGCCAGUGCCAGCAGAGGGCCCAGCUACACAGACCACUGCCAAGCCCAGCAAGUCGUUUUCCUCAGCCCACAGACAUCCGAGCAGAAGGAAUGGGCUUUCCAGACUCUGCCAGAGCAGGACGGCACUGUCCGAAGACAGAUGGAGCUCCUACUGUCUGUCAUCACUGGCUGCCCAGAAUAUUUGUACAAGUAAACUGCACUGCCCUGCCCCCCCCGAGCCCGCGGACCCGGCCGGGCCUGGGGGCAGUGUGUCCUGCUGCUCCCUGCUGCGGGGACUGUCCUCAGGGUGGUCGUCACCCCUGCUUCCGGCCCCUGUGUGCAACCCUAACAAGGCCAUCUUCACUGUGGAUGCCAAGACCACAGAGAUUCUGGUUGCUAACGACAAAGCUUGCAGGCUCCUGGGGUACAGCAGCCAGGACCUGAUUGGCCAGAAGCUCACGCAGUUCUUUCUGAGGUCAGAUUCCGAUGUGGUUGAGGCCCUCAGCGAGGAGCAUAUGGAGGCUGACGGCCACGCUGCGGUGGUGUUCGGCACGGUGGUGGACGUCAUCAGCCGUAGUGGGGAGAAGAUUCCAGUGUCUGUGUGGAUGAAGAGGAUGCGGCAGGAACACCGCCUGUGCUGCGUGGUAGUCCUGGAGCCCGUGGAGAGGGUCUCGACCUGGGUUGCUUUCCAGAGCGAUGGCACCAUCACGUCAUGUGACAGUCUCUUUGCUCAUCUUCACGGGUACGUGUCUGGGGAGGACAUGGCUGGGCAGCACAUCACAGACCUGAUCCCUUCUGUGCAGCUCCCUCCUUCUGGCCAGCACAUCCCAAAGAAUCUCAAGAUUCAGAGGUCUGUUGGAAGAGCCCGGGACGGCACCACCUUCCCUCUGAGCUUAAAACUGAAAUCCCAACCCAACAGUGAGGAGGCGAUCACCAGUGAGGCGGCCCCUGCGAGGGGCUACUGGGCAUCUAUCUGGGUGUUCUGCACCAUCAGCGGCCUCAUCACCCUCCUGCCAGAUGGGACCAUCCACGGCAUCAACCAUAGCUUUGCACUGACACUGUUUGGUUAUGGAAAGACCGAGCUCCUGGGCAAGAACAUCACUUUCCUGAUUCCUGGUUUCUACAGCUACAUGGACCUUGCGUACGACAGCUCAUUACAGCUCCCAGACCUGGCCAGCUGUCUGGAUGUCGGUGAUGAGAGUGGGUGUGGGGAGAAAACCUUGGACCCAUGGCAGGGCCAGGACCCCGCUGAGGGGGCCCAGGAUCCAAGGAUCGAUGUCGUGCUUGCUGAUGGCCACAUUGUGCCCCAAGAUGAGACCCAGAAGCUAGUGGAAAGCCAAGACAUCUUCACCGGGACUCAGACUGACCUGGGGACUGGAAGCCAGCUCCUUUCCUGCCUCUCUCCUCAGCCUGCUCCAGGGGUGGACAGUGUCCCAGAAGGAAGCCUGCCAGUGCACGGUGAACAGGCGCUGCCCAAGGACCAGCAAGUCACUGCCUUGGGAAGAGAGGAACCUGUGGCAAUAGAGAGUCCCAGACAGGAUCUUCUGGGAGAAAGCAGGUCUGAACCAGUGGAUGUGAAGCCAUUUGCUUCUUGUGAAGAUUCUGCAGCUCCAGUCCCAGCUGAGGAUGGGGGCAGUAAUGCUGGCAUGUGUGGCCUGUGUCAGGAGGCCCAGCUAGAGCGGAUGGGAGUCAGUGGUCCCAGUGGUUCAGACCUUUGGGCUGGGGCUGCCAUGGCCAAGCCCCAGGCCAAGGGUCAGCUGGUAGGGGGCAGCGUCCUGAUGCACUGCCCUUGCUACGGGAGUGAAUGGGGCUUGUGGUGGCAAAGCCAGGACUUGGCCCCGAACCCCUCUGGGAUGGCAGGCCUCUCGUUUGGGACACCUACUCUAGAUGAGCCAUGGCUGGGAGUGAAAAAUGACCGAGAAGAGCUGCAGACCUGCUUGAUGAAGGAGCAGCUGUCCCAGUUGAGCCUUGCGGGAGCCCUGGAUGUGCCCCAUGCUGAACUCGUUCCGACAGAGCGCCCGGCUGUCCCUGCUCCUGUGGUGUCCUGCGAUCUGGGAGGCAGAGACCUACACGGUGGCUUCACGGGCAGCUCCUCAGCCUGCUAUGCCUUGGCCACGGACCUCCCAGGGGGCCCGGAAGCAGUGGAGGCCCAGGAGGUUGAUAUGAAUUCGUUUUCCUGGAACCUCAAGGAACUCUUUUUCAGUGACCAGACAGACCAAACUUCAUCGAGUUGUUCCUGUGCUAUGUCUGAACUCAGAGGGACACGCUCUUCCUUGGCAGUGGGCUCCGAUCCAGAUGUGGGCAGUCUCCAGGAACAGGGGUCAUGUGUCCUGGAUGACAGGGAGCUGUUACUACUGACCGGCACCUGUGUUGACCUUGGCCAAGGCCGACGGUUCCGGGAGAGCUGCCUGGAACAUGAUCCAACAGAACCGCUUGAGGUUUGUUUGAUGUCCUCUGAGCAUUAUGCAGCAAGCAACGGAGAAAGCCCAGGACACGUUCCUUCCGUGUUGGAUGCUGGCCCUGAGGACACGUGCCCAUCAGCAGAGGAGCCAAGGCUGAACGUCCAGGUCACCUCCACACCCUUGAUGCCCGGGGCUGCUGGCCUGCAGCGGGAGAUCCAGGAGGGUGCCUACUCCGGGAGCUGCUAUCAUCGAGAUGGCUUACGGCUGAGUGUACAGUUUGAGGUGAGACGGGUGGAGCUCCAAGGCCCCACACCUCUGUUCUGCUGCUGGCUGGUGAAAGACCUCCUCCACAGCCACCGCGACUCAGCUGCCAGGACCCGCCUGUUCCUUGCCAGCCUGCCCAGCUCCACCCACUCUACCACUGCGGAGCUCACCGGACCCAGCCUGGUGGAAGUGCUCAGAGCCAGACCCUGGUUUGAGGAGCCCCCCAAGGCUGUGGAACUGGAGGGAUUGGCGGCCUGUGAGGGCGAGUACUCCCAAAAGUACAGCACCCUGAGCCCGCUGGGUAGUGGGGCCUUCGGCUUCGUGUGGACUGCUGUGGACAAGGAAAAAAACAAGGAGGUGGUGGUGAAGUUUAUUAAGAAGGAGAAGGUCUUGGAGGAUUGUUGGAUUGAGGAUCCCAAACUUGGGAAAGUUACUUUAGAGAUUGCAAUUCUAUCCAGGGUGGAGCAUGCCAAUAUCAUCAAGGUAUUGGAUGUAUUUGAAAACCAAGGGUUCUUCCAGCUCGUGAUGGAGAAGCACGGCUCCGGCCUAGACCUCUUCGCUUUCAUCGACCGCCACCCCAGGCUGGAUGAGCCCCUGGCGAGCUACAUCUUCCGACAAUUAGUGUCAGCGGUGGGAUACCUACGUUUGAAGGACAUCAUUCACCGCGACAUCAAGGACGAGAACAUUGUGAUCGCCGAGGACUUCACAAUCAAGCUGAUAGACUUUGGCUCGGCCGCCUACUUGGAAAGGGGAAAAUUAUUUUAUACUUUUUGUGGAACCAUCGAGUACUGUGCACCGGAAGUUCUCAUGGGGAAUCCGUACGUAUGCUGUUGCGGUGCAGCCUGUCCUCACGUCCUCUGUCAGGACCCCGAGGCCGGCUUGAUUUUGGGUGGGAAAAUGGCUUCCUUCGUGCCUCUUUGUGAUGAGAGCGUUGAGUGAUCAGGGUGAUGUGCUGAAAAGUAAGUGGGCAGGCAGGCAAGGUCAUAUUGGGCAAAGGCACUGGGUGAUGGAUUUAGGAUUAAUCGUUUUAUUUUCUCAGCUUUUAUUUGCUUGGCGUUUCAUCUAAUAAAAAGCCAAGAAAAAUACUGAAGAGUCCCCCAAAAUGGCACUCUUCAAAUAAGUGAAGAGGAUGCUUUUUAGUUGGGUUUAUUUAUUUUGAUGACAGGAAUAAUAUCUAUUUUGAUAAAAUACCGCGGGGCUGACCACACAAGGAAUCAGGCAUUGGAAAAAGUCCCGAGGCAGAGGGUUCGUGCUGAAGGCGGAGCCCUGGCUGGAGGGGCUGUCGCUGCCCAGCAGAUUCCACGUCGCUGGAAUGGGCCGGCGGAGCCUCUGCUCUGCUGUGGGGAGAAGCGGCGUCCUGGGGUGUGUGGCUGAGUUUGCAGCUCUGCAGUCAGGGGAGCCUGUGAGUUGGGGGCUGGCCUGGGCAGGGCCUCCUCUUGGGGAACUUAAGAGAGGAAAGCAAGACGGAAAGGAAGACUGUUGUUCAUUUGUAGGGCCUGAGUGGAGGCUGUCUGCUGAUGGUGCUUUCUGCUGCACAUGCCUGAUCACUGUCUCAUCUGCUUGUAAACCAAGUGUGUCUUUAUGUGUAUGAAAUAGACUUUAUUAAAUCAGAAACAGACAAGAGGUAUUUUCUGCUAGCACCUCCACGUGUUUUAGAGAGGUGUGGUUGGAAAUCGGUGUGGUUGGAAUGCUUCUCUAGGUGAGUUCAUGGUUGGAGGGUCGGAUGAUCACAGCACUGCUUGGACCCUCCCCGCUUGCUGCUGCAGCGCUCUGCUGCACUGCCCAUAUCUGCUCCAUGCGGUUCUCUAGGAGUGAAACUGAUGCUGCCCUCACAGGAGAGGCGCACGGGGUCCCUCACAGACCUGCUUGGAGCUGCACCUGACCUGGCGGCCUGAGGUCAGAGCGUUUGCUUGCAGUUGCCAUGUGAGCUCCAUGCCAUGCCUUGGGCUCUCGUGAGAGCCUCAGCAUCUGACAGAGGAGGGGCCUGGGCACUGGAUCCCAGUGUCUGCUUAGGCCAUGUUUCAUCAGUCAGGAGGUGCAGGUUCCAGGCUGCGCAGCCUGAGUCCUCAGAGCCCAGCAGCCUUGGCCUGCGCCAGCCUCUCCACGCCAGGCAGCAUUGAGCUCUUCUGGGCCUGGAUGCCCUGUGUGCAGAGUGUGGAGGAAGUGUAAAUGGGCUCUUCCCUUCUAGAACCUCCAUGCAUCUUCAGAGCCACCAAAUGGCAUGAAAUAUUGAAGGGAGUUGGUCUAAGAAGGGACUUGGAGUUUCCCUUCAGAUCUAGUUUGGUUGCCCUGGAGCCUGGUGGGCACUGGUGGGCUCUGACUCCCUUGCAGUGGCUGUCGUGUCCUCUGUGCAGGAGGGAACUGCCUGUCCCUUGUCCACUGACCCAUGAUGCCUGCUGCAUGGCUUGUCACCCCUUCCUGCACCCAGGCCACGAAGCUUGGGGAGGGUGUAGGGGGGAUCCAACCUGGGUGAGAGCUCAGUGCUGCUUGGCCACCUUGCCCUUGCCUCCCAGAGCUGUGGCUCCCACCCUCUUCCUGAGCACCUGCCCUGCCUCCUGGCCCCUCCUUUCUGGCUGUGAGCUGUAUGCUGCUCCUGGGCCUGCUGGGCUGCAGGCCUCUUCUCGGGAGCUCCUUCCUCCCUCCUGCGUCCUCUCCCCAUCUCCCUGGGUGAAAGGGUUUCUGAGUUCUGGUUCUCAAUCCCAUCCUCAGGGACCUGGCUUCUGUCUUGUCAUCUUCAUCUCCGUCUACUCCACGGUCAGCAGACUGUGGCCUUAGGUCCCCAUCCCCCUUCCUCAGGCCCUGGCAGCCGCCAUUCUGCUUUCUUCUCUAUGAAUCUGACUACUCUAGGGACCGCCUAUAUGUGGAAUCAUACAGCAUUUGCCUUUUGGUGACUGGCUUAUUUCACUUAGUAUAAAGUCCUCAAGGUCGAUCCAUGUUGUGGCCUGUGCCAGCAUCUUCCUUUUCGAGGCUGAAUUUGAUUGCGUUUUCUGGAUGUGCUGUACUUAUUCAUCUGUCAGUGGACAUUUGGGUUGCUUCUACCUUUGCUUUCAUCUGUAUGUUGUUUGUGAUGUUGCUACAAACGUGUUUGCAAACAUCCCCUGCCUCUUGUUUCUAUAAAUAAAGUUUUAUCGGGAUGGAGCUGUGCUCAUUGGCUUAUGUGUUGUCUGUAGCUGCCUUUGUCCUACAUGACAGUUGAGUUGCAGUGGGGACCAUGUGGCCCAAAACCUGAAAUAUUUACUAUUUGACCCUUUACAGGAAAAGUUUGCCAACCUCUGUUCUAGUCUAUUGGAUAUUUCUCUUCAUCUUCUAAAAGUUUUGAAAUCUAAAAAACAGAAACAACACAAAAACAAAAACUGCCAAAUCUGAUUUUCUUGCUGUAGCCCCUACAGCUCUCAUCCAUCCCCUCAGUUUCCCUGUGGUCUGUGCUAGCAACCCCACCACCCCCCUGACUCAACCUGGUGGCCUGACUCUUACCCACGCUGCUGCUCUGGCCUCUGUGAUCUGCCGUCUUGAGCCCUCCCCUCCCCGCCCAGCCCCUCAUCUCUGAGUCCAGCCCAGGGCUCUGUCCGUGCCGCUCUUCUCACUGCUGUGGUUUCUCUUGGCUCCCUUGUCUAAUUCCAGUUCUGGGAAGAGGCUGCUGCUUCCCAGACCUCUUCUGGGGAUAGACCCCCAGCUGCGGACCCAGAGGUGCAUGGCCUUGGCCAGUGCAGGGGCAGGGCCGUGGGUGCAGGUGACCUGGCUCCGGAGUGUGCUUGGCAGUACCUUCACCUCACCAAGCCUUGCUCUUCUUCUGUGUAAAAUGAAGGUAAUAUUUAUCUUGCUAGGUUGUUGUGAGGAUUUGGGUUAAGCCAUGUAAAAUGCUGGUACAGCGUUGGCAUCUCUAGGUACCCAGUAAAUGGUGGCGUGGAUGAGGAUGUUUAUGGCGAUAGGAAAUAACAAUAGUCCUUUGGGUGUCUUCUCCUUGAAGCUUGCUCCUCCAGUCGGCCCAUUGUAUGAACAUCUGCCUUCACCACAUCCUUCUUGUUUGCUUUCAUCCUUCGGUAUUUCUGCCUGUUCAGUCUCGUCCUGCAGCACCCUUCACAUCGUCGCCACAGUGAUCUUCCUAAAGGGCACGUGUGUCAGUGGUCACACCAAGCUGAACAUGCCCGAUCACGUCUGAAGGGCACGUGACCCUGUUCUGAAGUGGCCUGCGGUCCUGUGGCCCUCAGCAGAGCCAAUGGACGUGUACUCUGCUUCCUCCAGGAAGCCCUCCCCCACCUCUGGUGGACACGUCUUGUGCUACAGAGGGCCGGAGCUGGAGAUGUGGUCUCUGGGAGUCACUCUGUACACGCUGGUCUUUGAGGAAAACCCCUUCUGUGAGCUGGAGGAGACUGUGGAGGCUGCCAUACACCCGCCAUACCUGGUGUCCAAAG
Piliocolobus tephrosceles (Ugandan red Colobus) is the source of this 7306-nucleotide RNA transcript. It is a transcript of the gene named PAS domain containing serine/threonine kinase, with no coding region annotated. The transcript is spliced from 16 exons. NCBI's taxonomy places the organism in Eukaryota, Metazoa, Chordata, Mammalia, Primates, Cercopithecidae. The record is from RefSeq and is a predicted model, not a curated record.